GACGAACGCUGGCGGCGUGCCUAAUACAUGCAAGUAGAACGCACAGUUUAUACCGUAGCUUGCUACACCAUAGACUGUGAGUUGCGAACGGGUGAGUAACGCGUAGGUAACCUGCCUGGUAGCGGGGGAUAACUAUUGGAAACGAUAGCUAAUACCGCAUAAUAUUAAUUAUUGCAUGAUAAUUAAUUGAAAGGUGCAAUUGCACCACUACCAGAUGGACCUGCGUUGUAUUAGCUAGUAGGUGAGGUAACGGCUCACCUAGGCGACGAUACAUAGCCGACCUGGGAGGGUGAUCGGCCACACUGGGACUGAGACACGGCCCAGACGCCGACGGGAGGCAGCAGUAGGGAAUCUUCGGCAAUGGACGAAAGUCUGACCGAGCAACGCCGCGUGAGAGAAGAAGGGUUUCGGAUCGUAAAGCUCUGUUGUAAGAGAAGAACGGGUGUGAGAGUGGAAAGUUCACACUGUGACGGUAUCUUACCAGAAAGGGACGGCUAACUACGUG
Molecule: ribosomal RNA, 505 nt
Filed under: uncultured bacterium
Lineage: Bacteria
Description: partial 16S ribosomal RNA
Rfam family: Bacterial small subunit ribosomal RNA
Source: RNAcentral